AGAGGUUAUCCGUGUUUCUUCGCUUUAUUUAUGACGAAAAAUACGGGUGCACUUCUGU
Molecule: microRNA precursor, 58 nt
Filed under: Canis lupus familiaris (dog)
Lineage: Eukaryota; Metazoa; Chordata; Mammalia; Carnivora; Canidae
Source: RNAcentral